This 110-nucleotide transfer RNA is filed under the name Candidatus Woesearchaeota archaeon. Its description in RNAcentral is "tRNA-Leu". It matches the Rfam family "tRNA". From Rfam's summary of the family: Transfer RNA (tRNA) molecules are approximately 80 nucleotides in length. Their secondary structure includes four short double-helical elements and three loops (D, anti-codon, and T loops). Lineage: Archaea; Nanobdellati; Candidatus Woesearchaeota. The record is from RNAcentral.
GCGGGGAUGCCGGAGUGGUCAAACACGAAAAACACAGAAGUGGACCUAACGGGCUAGGUUCAGGACCUAGUGGCUUAGUGCCUUCGCAGGUUCGAAUCCUGUUCCCCGCA